Equus caballus (horse) is the source of this 2070-nucleotide long non-coding RNA. NCBI's taxonomy places the organism in Eukaryota, Metazoa, Chordata, Mammalia, Perissodactyla, Equidae. The record is from Ensembl.
GCCCCUUUCAGUUUUCUCAUCUGCAAUCACUCUGAGCCCGAUGAGUAAUUCAAAAUGGAGAGUCUGAAAAGAGGGCGACCUUUUAAUAAGCAAGUCAAACUCACUUCUUAAAGUCUUCCUUUUCUUUCAUUUGCGCUCUAAGUGUAGGAAGUUGGCUCUUACUGGGAAGUAGAAAACUGGAGCAUAUGGGAGGGACAGUGCGGGCUGUGUGGAGAUUCCCACGCCUGGGCUACACAAAACGGAAAAGAAACCCCUUUCUCAGCAGAAUCCAGUCUUUCCUUGCAUAUCUCUACGCUUUCUAUUGAACUGGGUUUUUAAGUUCGGAAAAUAAAUUCUGUGUUAUCAAAACAGAGGGCAGAGCUGUAUCUGGGUCUCCUAACAACUGAAAUCGACCAUCUUCUGCACGAAAUCUUUAAGGACCAAGUGGCUCAGCCCCACAUGGAAAGAAACGCCAGGAGGGUUCCAAUGUGCUGCCCAUCUUGUGCAUGUGUCUUCGCUCCUGUUCCAACAACCAGAAUUUGGGGUACUAAGAACUGAAAACAAGAAAAGCAUUGUUCCAUGAUCUCAAUCUUAAAAAAAAAAUUAACUGGAAAAAAUGUAGACUUUGGAAAAUGUAAUCUUUGCUCAAAUGGAUAAAGGCACUGGAGUGAAAAAUGAAAUUGUUAAGCUGAAGUGAUGGAAAUUGAAAAGGGUCAGAAACAGAUGGAAAGGGAAAUGCACUAGAGCUACGUUAGACUGUUAUUUUGUUCGCUUGGGGCUGCUGUUGCAGAUUUUGAAGUCAAAGAGGCAAGUCCAAAUGGCAUAAGGUUAAAGAACAUUAGAAAGUGGUUUACACAUGUACAACAACAUGGCUUUUCUCAUUUGAAAAAAGAAACACAAAACUGUGCUUAAGGCAUUUGUAGAAGUCAGCACUGAAAAUUCUUCUUAAGAAAAAUAUUUUCAAGGCAAUACAUGAAACUCAGUUAUGCAAAUGGGCCACUCAGCCCCUCCCACUGCAGGACAAGAAAAAAAUUAUUAGUGUCCAAUCAAGAGUUUGCAAGCUCUACUAUUCACCACAGCCAAGACAUGGAAACAAUCCAAGUGCCCAUUGACUGAUGAUUGGAUAAAGAAGAUGUGGUAUAUACAUACAAUGGAAUACUACUCAGCCAGAAUAAAAGACAAAUUCAUCCCAUUUGCAACAACAUGGAUGGACCUGGAGGGUAUUAUGCUAAGUGAAAUAAGUCAGACUGAGAAAGACAAACACCAGAUGAUUUCACUCAUAUGUGGAAUAUAAAUGAACACAUGGACAAAGAAAACAGUUCAGUGAUUACCAGGGGAAGCGGGGUGGAAGGUGGCCACAGGGGGUGAAGGGGAGCACGUACAUGGUGACAGACAAGAAAUAAUGUACCACUGAAAUUUCAAGAUGAUGUAAACUAUUCUGAAUCUCAAUUUAAAAAAUAAAAUAAAAUAAAGAAUUUUGAAAUUUCAAAAAGAGAGUUUGCAAGCUUUGAUAGAAGUAUGCAAAUAUAAAAUUCAUGGAACUUUGAAUAAGCAAAAUAACCACAAAUACCAGAAUACUCAUCAAUCUGAAGAAUUUUUCUUUUUUUUUUUUUUAAAGAUUGGCACCUGAGCUAACAAAUGUUGCCAAUCUUUUUUUUUUUUUUUUUUCUGCUUUAUUUCCCCAAAUCCCCCUGGCACACAGUUGUAUAUCCUAGGUGCAGGUCGUUCUAGUUGUGGUAUGUGGGACACCGCCUCAACGUGGCCUGAUGAGCCAUGUCCGUGCCCAGGAUCCGAACCCGCAAAACCCCAGGCCACUGAAGCGGAGCUCAGGAACUUAACCACUCGGCCAUGGGGUCGGCUCCCUGGAGAAUUUUUCUAAAUGGCAGAAUUAGAUCUCAGUUGCGCAGUUUUGUUUUUUGGGUUUUUUUGGCUUGUAGGUAGGCUAGAGAGAAGUUUUGUCUUAAUGAGAGUCUAUUUGUUUUCACUGGUAUAAAUACAUAUUGUUAAAUUUGCUCAUGACAACCUUAAAGUGAGAGAUGUAAUCUUAAAUGUAAUCUCUGACAGGUAAGAAUAUAGCAAAUUCAUUUUGAC